This 460-nucleotide ribosomal RNA is filed under the name uncultured bacterium. Its description in RNAcentral is "partial 16S ribosomal RNA". It matches the Rfam family "Bacterial small subunit ribosomal RNA", at positions 338 to 795 of the family's 1533-position model. The record is from RNAcentral.
CCUACGGGUGGCAGCAGUGAGGAAUAUUGGUCAAUGGGCGGAAGUCUGAACCAGCCAAGUAGCGUGCAGGAUGACGGCCCUACGGGUUGUAAACUGCUUUUAUACGGGAAUAACGCGCCUUACGUGUAGGGCUUUGCAUGUACCGUUUGAAUAAGGACCGGCUAAUGCCGUGCCAGCAGCCGCGGUAAUACGGAAGGUCCGGGCGUUAUCCGGAUUUAUGGGGUUUAAAGGGAGCGUAGGCCGCAUGUCAAGCGUGCUGUGAAAUGUCCGGGCUCAACCCGGGCCUUGCAGCGCGAACUGGCGUGCUGGAGUCCGCGGAAAGCAGGCGGAAGUCGUCGUGUAGCGGUGAAAUGCUUAGAUAUGACGAAGAACCCCGAUUGCGAAGGCAGCUUGCUGCAGCGGAACUGACGCUGAUGCUCGAAAGCGCGGGUAUCGAACAGGAUUAGAUACCCUUGUAGUC